UGAAUCGGAGCUAUAGCUGCUGGCCUACGCCAGAACCACAGCAACAUGGGAUCCAAGCCGCAUCUGCAACCUACACCACAGCUCACGGCAACGCGGGAUCCUUAACCCACUGAGCAAGGCCAGGGAUUGAACCCACAACCUCAUGGUUCCUAGUCAGAUUCAUUAACCACUGAGCCACGACGGGAACUCCCCAAUUUUCUUUACAUAUUUCUGUAUUUUCCAUAUUUUUAUAAUAAGGAGACAUUACUUUUGAAAUCAGAAAAGGCAACACUUUUAAUACAGAAAACAACAUUACUACACCUAUCCAGCAGUGUGGCUUUACUGCCAAAAUGGAAUAUCAAUGAGCAAACAUCACAUCCUUCUAGGAUUUGAGAUCAUAAGAAACAGAGAAAUAGGACCUGACACUUAGAUUGAGACACUGAAAAGACCAUGUGACAGAAAGAAUUAAAAAAAAAAAAAAGAUAGCCAAUCUAAUUCUGGCAUUUCUGUGCUACCAGGGGCAGGUAUCUUUCCUUUCAGUGCUGGCUAAAAAAAACGGUGGAGAAAAUUCACAGCUUCUCGUAGUUUCUAGGAGGCCACUCUGCAAGUGGAAUUUAUCUAUGGAGAAGAGUAAAAUUAUCUACCCAAAGACACCGAUCAGGUCAGCAGACAUCAAUACUGCUGCCCUACUUCACUUCUCCAGAGAGAGUAAGUAUUACUUCAACCACAUCUUAAGUUAAAGGCAUCAGAACAAUCAAAGAGGUAGACCACCAACAGGCUAGCUGCCUGUCUAACUCCAAAGAGAGAAAACGGGAGGUCUGAGGGAACCUUCUGUCCCACCUUCGACAAAUAUAAAACAAGGAGGUUGGCCUAGGAGACUUAAGGACCCUUUCCUUUCCAUUUUGAAAUUCUGUGAUUCCAAGACACAGGUUUCGUGUCUGGCAUACAAAGUCAUCUUGUCCAAAAGAGCAGCUCAUGACAUCUUCCAAAGGCUGGUGAAACUCCUGCAACAAUGAGUAAGAGAGUGGAGCACGGUAAAGACUCGGGAGCUGCGGAGACAGACGGCUGCCAACAGGCAGCCCUGGCACCUGCAGCCCGCUGUGAGGCCUCAUCAUCACAUGGCACCAGGUGGCCUCCAGGAGUAUGACCCGCCUUCACGAGCAGCUCCGUCUGACCACCUGGGCUGACACAAAGGUAUCUAUCUGGUCCAGCCCCAAAGCUUCUGAAGGACAAAAAAGCAGGCUAUGUGGCAAGGUCAGAAAGACAGUCAAUGAGUUGGAAGUUCAAAUCCCCCCUCAGCCAAGAGGGAUGGAAACUCUGGGACUCCGGCUUCUACAUCUACAAGACGGAGAGAGACGAGCCUGGUAGAUGGGGGUGUCUCUCCAACUCUUCCGCAAGGUCCCCUCAGCCGUCAGAGGGAACAUCCUGACACACCUGCUCUAAGCGCAUAAUCCUACGUCUCACCGGGACUCAUGUUCAUCUCGCACCCCCCUCUGUUCUCAUCUACGUCCACGUACUUCUUUUCUGCACCUGCGGCACAUGGACGUUCCUGGGCUAGGAGUGAAUCAGAGGUGCAGCUGGGGCCUACGCCACAGCGGAUCUGAGCCACAUCUGCAACCGCACUGCAUCCUUAACCCACUGAGUGAGGCCAAGGAUCAAACCUGCAUCCUCACAGAGACUACACUGGGUCCUUAACCUGCUGAGCCACAAUGGGAACUCCAAUAUUUCCACAUUCUUCUCAUGUAAGUGACGGCUUAAAUAGAACAUGACUAUCCGUCAUGGAAACAACCUGAGUUCACACAUCCUCCCCACUCGCCUUGUCUUUGAGUAAAAGUGAUGCUCCCGGAAGCCACACCAUGAGUGUCCCAGAACAUCGGCUAUCUCCACACAGCCCAUCACAUAACCCUCCAGAGAACGCAUUCUCUGGUGUGAGCUGCUAGACUCCUAAGACUCACAAAAUUUUCUUCCUGGUAUAAUUUUCUAUGCCAAGAGGCAAUAAUGUAUGUCCAAGUGCCAGGUUCAUCAUAGGUCAUCAGAAGAUAGAAGCUACAUCUGAAUCUGAUUUGAUUUCUUUAUCAAAUUAAACGUGCUUUGAAAACAUGCAGCAGGAAUUCCCGUCGUAGCACAGUGGUUAACGAAUCCGACUAGGAACCAUGAGGUUGCAGGUUCGAUCCCUGGCCUGGCUCGGUGGGUUAAGGAUCCAGCGUUGCCGUGAGCUGUGGUGUAGGUCACAGACAAGGCUCAGAUCCCGAGUUGCUGUGGCUCUGACGCAGGUCGGCAGCUACGGCCCCUAUUCUACCCCUAGUCUGGGAACCUCCAUAUGCCACAGGAGUGGCCCAAGAAAUGGUGAAAAGACAAAAAAAAAGAAGAAGAAAAAAGAAAACAUAGCGCCUCAUGUCUAGAGUUUCUUGUUGAGGAAAAUGAGGUGUGGGGAAGACAGGAGAAGUAGCGAGUCAACUGCGUAAACACAACGAUAACAAAUUCAAUUAAAAAAUGAUUCCAAUAAAUAAAUUAAAUAAAACCAUCUAUAAAGGAAGACUGCCUGGGUAGGUACACGUGGUGGAAAACCGCGAGGACCUAAGAGAAAAUUUCCUACUCAAGUUUAGCACCAAGAAGUCUCUGUAGAUGAAUUUUAUGCCAUCUGUGGCAAAACACGAAAAUGCUGCCAUGAUUCCUUCUUUAUCUGAGAUGCCGAAAAUUAUAGUUACUCCAAUCUGCUGAAGUCAGGCGUCUGCUGCCUCCUACAAAAGUAUUACACUGAAUCUUUAUCUUAAACUGCCUGAUUUUACCAUGAAUUCUCAUCUUUAGGCUGCCAUAUCCUUCAGGCUACAGAUGGGACACCUAUCCUAAUUGAUUAAAUAUAGAACUGGGGGCAAGGCACUGGAUGGGGAAAGUAAAUACUGACCUUUCUAAAAACAAUUCCUUUUGUACUUGAAGAGGACGCAGCUCAAAAUAAAUAAAGCUAUCUGGAUUCAGUUCCAUAAAUAUUUGUCGAGUGCUUAUUACGGCAAAUCCUCACGUUAGGGAUUGUGAAGAAUGCACAGGAUGCAAAGUCCUUGCCAAGGUGAGUUUACAACCUGAGAGGAGAGACAGGAGGCACAUAGAAUGACUAAUGAAGAGCAGAACGGGGUAAGGCAAACAGACAGGUACAAAGACCUGAGAUGUAGAGAUGGCGGGAAAGAUCGUUUCCAGGCCAGGGCUGCUGAGAAAGUUUCAAGGAGAACACAGCACAUCUGUCGGGGCACCUCCACAUGACCGGUUCCACCCAGACUCUGUGAUACGGGAGGCAUCUGUGGGGUCCAACUGGAUGAGGAAGACUCAGACCAGAAUGGGCAACACAAAUAGCAAUGCAUCUGCUGCAAAGAGGAGGCUGCCAGUCUUACAGAAGACUGCCACAUGGAGAUAAAGAGAGCCACUGUCUCCUGAAACCCUUCGUGAGGGCCUGGCAGGACCAAGGAUGUUCUGGCUCAUCAUCACGUGCCUGGAGGGCAGGCCUCCCGAGGCUGGAGCCGAGAGAAGCAUGAAUAUCACACUCUGGACACUCAUUCAGGGACGUGGGUUGAAAAAGAGGGGUGGAAACUCUUGUGUUUCUGAACACAAGUCUAGAGAAGCAAGAGGAACAUACUUUGCUUGUUCCACUUUCCAGAAAACUACAAAUAAAAGCCUUUAAAACCUAUAACCAACACUAAAAGACAUAGGAAAGGCAGCACUCAAUUGUCCUGGUUCUUUCGGGCAAAUACAUGUCUUCUCAAGGCACAGAAUCCUACCAGCUGGUCUGUGUGAAUAUACUCCAGCACUGCCUGCAGCAGAGCCAGGAGUCCUGUCUCAUUGACAAAGCCAUGUGCAACUCCUCCUACCUCCCUCGACUGUCCACGACCCUCCCCGUCUCCAGCCAGACGCUCCCCUCCCUCCUCGAUGUGCCCAAAGCCCUUGCAGACACUGCCGGUGAACCGCUCAGCGCUGCAUCAGAACUAGGUGGACACAGGCUUUACUGCAAAGCACCUGGCACAAUGCUGGGCCCUGAGCAACCAUGAGAAAACGGCAGCAAUGUCCCCUCCAGCCGACGAGGCCCUCGAGGGCAUGCUCUCAGCUUCAUAUCCCGGGCCUAACAGUACCAGGCACGGAAACUACUUACCUGAAGAAAGGCCCAGAAGCACAGGGAGCAGAUGCAAGAGAGCGUCUCCCUUCUGGCCCAGGGCUCUGGGAGCUUCUGUGACUUCCUACCAGGCCACAGCCCUCCUCCUCCAGGGGCUCAACACAUUAGCCAGCCGUUCCUGACCUGCCAGCUCUGCUGGACACCAACACACACCACCCUCAGCGCUGAUCCUCAAAUCAGCAGAUCAACCUGCUGCAAAGGGCUGGGAGCUCUUCAUCGGGUAUGACCUGGCGGUUUGGGGCUGGGCCCUCCCGAUCCUGCAAGGAUCCCUGCUCAGCCCCACUUCUCCUCGGGCUGCCUGUCAACUUCUUCUGUGCUUCCAGAAAUAUCAGGCUGGCGUUUCUUUUUCCAGAAUAGAACAAGAAGAUAAGCAUCAGAGAGCAGCAAAUGGUGGGUGUGAGAGCAGCUGGGAGCAGUUGGGGCCAUCUUGGAAAUAGGCCGCAUUAAAAGGAUGAAUCCCAUACCCAACUGGAGAGCUGGCUCCACUUGCAGAAAAGUGAUUUAAAAAAAAAAAAAAAAAGCUGAAUUAAAAGGCUUUAAAGAUACUCUAAGUCUGACCCCUGGGUUCUGCAGAAGGGAAAUGGAGGCCCAGUGAGAUGACUGAGCUGGGGGGUGGCCUGGAUGGAACAGGAACAGCAGACAACCACUGGAUGACCCAGACGUGCUCCAGGACACCCAAGCACAUCCUAUUUAACCCUAAUCAAUUUAGAAAACAUAAAUCAUAAAAUCAGUUAAAAUACAGGCCUCUGAUUUUACAGGUACCUGAACAGAAUUAUGAAAUUUCAGUGGAACUUACAACUUCACCUAUUUUACCCAGAUGCUUAAGACUCACAUAACAAACCUCCCCAAGGCCCACUUGGUGCCUGCACAGUUUGUAAAGGGCCCUUUUUUUUUUAAGGCCCGCACCUGCAGCAUAUGGAGAUCCCCAGGCUAGGGGUUGAAUUGGAGCUGUAGCUGCUGGCCUAUGCCACAGCAAUGUCAGAUUCGAACUGCAUUUGCAACCUACACCACAGCUCAUGGCAACGCUGGAUCCUUAACCCACUGAGCAAGGCCAGGGAUCGAACCGGCGACCUCAUGGAUCCUAGUCAGAUUUGUUUCCGAUGAGCCACAAGAGGAACUCCUGUCAAGUACCCUUUUGAAAAACAAAAAGCCCUAGACGAGCAGAAACCUGCUUCCUUAGCUGGUGGCAGCAGAACACCAGGCAUCUAGUACAAGAAGCAAGAGGUCUCCAGUCAGCUCUGUAACCCUGAGCUCUGCAAAAGCCAAGCAGAGUCGAGCAAAACCUGUGAAACACAGGUUAACAGCUGGGACCAGCUGCUGUCACUGGCAGCCCUGCUCUCAGGCCCUUCCAAGGUGAGGGUGUCUUUUCCUAAUCCAGACACUCUCAGCACGUAGGGACCAGAAUUCCACUGACCUGCUGGGAGUGGGGAGAGAGGGUGGGAGGCCAGUAGCAUUAGCAAUGAACGGGGGCUUUCAACCCUCCCUUUCCUGAGAGCUCAGAUGAGUUUACAGUUAGCACUUUCUUGAGGCCACAACAGGUGGUUUCUUUUAAUGGGGAGCAGAAUUUGACAUAUUGAAAGGCAAACAGAACGUCUGAACACUGGCGGGGGGAAUACAGGUUUGUAGUGCUGAGGUCAACUCGCAGCAGGGCACGGUGAGAUAGGCCCGUGCGGCGCAGUGCUCGCCCCUGUGUGAAUCCGAUCCGGGCGGGCAGCCCCGGCGCCCCUGCGAGGAAGACACAGGUGCCACUUACCACUCUGCGCGCUUCCCACGCACACAGGAGGAAACACGUGCUCCUGAUCCAUGUGCUCCCUAAGCGCUAACCCGCCUUGUCUGUUACGGCCAUUUGUUGAUGAGCCAUUGUGUCGAGCCCAGCAUUUUGAGCAAAGGUGAAAGCAUCUCCUCUGCUUCUGGUAUCAUGAGGGAGGCAGACACGUAAAUAACCAGUUACAGAAUAUAAAGCAGAACCAAGUGCUAUAAAUCCACCAACUACCACAUACCGCUAUGCCCAGUGUCCAGGACAAGUGAGAAGCAAUACUGGUGCUUUUCCAGCACUGCCUCACCCAUUUCUUUCAAAACUGCUACUGAGACCAAUAUUUUCGCCCUCAUAAGUGACACAACUGAGGCUCAGAGACUUUAAGUGACUCCAAAGCAUACAAAUAGCAACAGCAACCCCAGUGGUUAUGGAGCAGUAAAUAGGACGGACACUGUGCUGCUAAUACACCUCA
Molecule: long non-coding RNA, 6363 nt
Filed under: Sus scrofa (pig)
Lineage: Eukaryota; Metazoa; Chordata; Mammalia; Artiodactyla; Suidae
Description: lncRNA (ENSSSCG00060026157.1)
Source: RNAcentral